GGGGGGAACUAAGCAUAUCAAUAAGCGGAGGAAAAGAAACUAACAAGGAUUCCCCUAGUAACUGCGAGUGAAGCGGGAAAAGCUCAAAUUUAAAAUCUGGUGGCCUUUGGUCAUCCGAGUUGUAAUUUAGAGAAGCGUCUUCCGCGCUGGACCGUGCACAAGUCUCCUGGAAUGGAGCGUCGUAGAGGGUGAGAAUCCCGUCUUUGGCACGGACGCCCAGUGCUUCUGUGAUGCGCUCUCGAAGAGUCGAGUUGUUUGGGAAUGCAGCUCAAAAUGGGUGGUGAACUCCAUCUAAAGCUAAAUAUUGGCGAGAGACCGAUAGCGAACAAGUACCGUGAGGGAAAGAUGAAAAGCACUUUGGAAAGAGAGUGAAACAGUACGUGAAAUUGUUGAAAGGGAAACGCUUGAAGUCAGUCGCGUCGUCCGAGACUCAGCCUCGCCUCGGCUUGGUGUACUUCUCGGCCGACGGGUCAGCAUCAAUUUUGCCCCUUGGAUAAUGGCGAGGGAAAUGUGACACCUUUACGGGUGUGUUAUAGUCUCUUGUCGCAUGCAAGGGUCGGGAUUGAGGAACUCAGCACGCGCCUUCGGGUGUCGGGGUUUUGCCCACGAUACGUGCUUAGGAUGUUGGCGUAAUGGCUUUAAACGACCCGUCUUGAAACACGGACCAAGGAGUCUAACAUGCCCGCGAGUGUUCGGGUGGAAAACCCGUGCGCGCAAUGAAAGUGAAAGUUGGGACCUCUGUCGUGGAGGGCACCAACGCCCGGACCAGACCUUCUGUGACGGAUCUGCGGUAGAGCGUGUAUGUUAGGACCCGAAAGAUGGUGAACUAUGCCUGAAUAGGGUGAAGCCAGAGGAAACUCUGGUGGAGGCUCGUAGCGAUUCUGACGUGCAAAUCGAUCGUCAAAUUUGGGUAUAGGGGCGAAAGACUAAUCGAACCAUCUAGUAGCUGGUUCCUGCCGAAUUUCCC
This 967-nucleotide ribosomal RNA is filed under the name Russula sp. RNAcentral describes it as "partial 28S large subunit ribosomal RNA". It matches the Rfam family "Eukaryotic large subunit ribosomal RNA", at positions 26 to 971 of the family's 3401-position model. Lineage: Eukaryota; Fungi; Basidiomycota; Agaricomycetes; Russulales; Russulaceae. The record is from RNAcentral.